This 375-nucleotide unclassified non-coding RNA is filed under the name uncultured bacterium. RNAcentral's name for it is "contains 16S-23S intergenic spacer region". The record is from RNAcentral.
UCCGGCUUAUCACCGGCAGUCUGCUCAGGGUUCCAAACUAAAUGUUGGCAACUAAACACGAGGGUUGCGCUCGUUGCGGGACUUAACCCAACACCUUACGGCACGAGCUGACGACAGCCAUGCAGCACCUGUCUCAAUGUUCCCGAAGGCACCAACCCAUCUCUGGGAAGUUCAUUGGAUGUCAAGGCCUGGUAAGGUUCUUCGCGUUGCUUCGAAUUAAACCACAUGCUCCGCUGCUUGUGCGGGUCCCCGUCAAUUCCUUUGAGUUUUAAUCUUGCGAUCGUACUCCCCAGGCGGAAUGCUUAAUGCGUUAGCUGCGCCACCGAAGAGCAAGCUCUCCAACGGCUGGCAUUCAUCGUUUACGGCGUGGACUAC